Molecule: ribosomal RNA, 497 nt
Filed under: uncultured bacterium
Lineage: Bacteria
Description: partial 16S ribosomal RNA
Rfam family: Bacterial small subunit ribosomal RNA
Source: RNAcentral
GAUGAACGCUGGCGGCGUGCCUAAUACAUGCAAGUCGAGCGAACGGACGAGAAGCUUGCUUCUCUGAUGUUAGCGGCGGACGGGUGAGUAACACGUGGAUAACCUACCUAUAAGACUGGGAUAACUUCGGGAAACCGGAGCUAAUACCGGAUAAUAUUUUGAACCGCAUGGUUCAAAAGUGAGAGACGGUGUUGCUGUCACUUAUAGAUGGAUCCGCGCUGCAUUAGCUAGUUGGUAAGGUAACGGCUUACCAAGGGAACGAUGCAUAGCCGACCUGAGAGGGUGAUCGGCCACACUGGAACUGAGACACGGUCCUGACUCCUACGGGAGGCAGCAGUAGGGAAUCUUCCGCAAUGGGCGAAAGCCUGACGGAGCAACGCCGCGUGAGUGGUGAAGGUCUUCGGAUCGUAAAACUCUGUUAUUAGGGAAGAACAUAUGUGUAAGUAACUGUGCACAUCUUGACGGUACCUAAUCAGAAAGCCACGGCUAACUACGUG